This 596-nucleotide ribosomal RNA is filed under the name uncultured bacterium. RNAcentral describes it as "bacterial SSU rRNA". It matches the Rfam family "Bacterial small subunit ribosomal RNA", at positions 112 to 704 of the family's 1533-position model. The record is from RNAcentral.
AAUGCCUAGGAAUCUGCCUGGUAGUGGGGGAUAACGUUCGGAAACGGACGCUAAUACCGCAUACGUCCUACGGGAGAAAGCAGGGGACCUUCGGGCCUUGCGCUAUCAGAUGAGCCUAGGUCGGAUUAGCUAGUUGGUGAGGUAAUGGCUCACCAAGGCGACGAUCCGUAACUGGUCUGAGAGGAUGAUCAGUCACACUGGAACUGAGACACGGUCCAGACUCCUACAGGAGGCAGCAGUGGGGAAUAUUGGACAAUGGGCGAAAGCCUGAUCCAGCCAUGCCGCGUGUGUGAAGAAGGUCUUCGGAUUGUAAAGCACUUUAAGUUGGGAGGAAGGGUUGUAGAUUAAUACUCUGCAAUUUUGACGUUACCGACAGAAUAAGCACCGGCUAACUCUGUGCCAGCAGCCGCGGUAAUACAGAGGGUGCAAGCGUUAAUCGGAAUUACUGGGCGUAAAGCGCGCGUAGGUGGUUUGUUAAGUUGGAUGUGAAAUCCCCGGGCUCAACCUGGGAACUGCAUUCAAAACUGACUGACUAGAGUAUGGUAGAGGGUGGUGGAAUUUCCUGUGUAGCGGUGAAAUGCGUAGAUAUAGGAAGG